GAUGAACGCUAGCUACAGGCUUAACACAUGCAAGUCGAGGGACCGGCGCACGGGUGAGUAACACGUAUCCAACCUGCCCUUUACUCGGGGAUAGCCUUUCGAAAGAAAGAUUAAUACCCGAUAUAAAGGAUGGGGAUGCGUUCCGUUAGGUUGUUGGUAAGGUAACGCCUCACCAAGCCUUCGAUGGAUAGGGGUUCGGAGAGGAAGCUCCCCCUGAUGUGAACUGAGACCCGGACUCAACUCCUACGGGAGGCAGAAGGGAGGAAUAUUGGUCAAGUGGCGCUAGCCUAAACCUGCCAAGUAGCGUGAAGGAUGAUGGCGUUGGGGUCGUAAAUUUCUGAUAUAUAAGAAUCGUUAUUAUAUGAAUAAGCACCGGCUAACUCCGUGCCAGCCGCCGCGGUAAUAC
This 406-nucleotide ribosomal RNA is filed under the name uncultured bacterium. RNAcentral's name for it is "partial 16S ribosomal RNA". It matches the Rfam family "Bacterial small subunit ribosomal RNA", at positions 28 to 526 of the family's 1533-position model. The record is from RNAcentral.